UACGUAGGGUGCAAGCGUUAAUCGGAAUUACUGGGCGUAAAGCGUGCGUAGGCGGUUGCGCAAGACAGGUGUGAAAUCCCCGGGCUUAACUCGGAAAGGUCAACUGAUACUGUGCGACUAGAGUGCAGAAGGGGCAACUGGAAUUCUCGGUGUAGCGGUGAAAUGCGUAGAUAUCGAGAGGAACACCUGCGGCGAAGGCGGGUUGCUGGGCUGACACUGACGCUGAGGAGCGAAAGCGUGGGGAGCGAACAGG
Molecule: ribosomal RNA, 253 nt
Filed under: uncultured bacterium
Lineage: Bacteria
Description: partial 16S ribosomal RNA
Rfam family: Bacterial small subunit ribosomal RNA
Source: RNAcentral